CUGUCGGAACAGACAGAACACCUCCCGCCCCCGACCCCCAGCCCUCGACCCGGUGCCUUUCUCUCCUCCCGUUGCUUUUCUCUCCUCCUCCAUCUCCGCCCCUGAUUUCUCCUCCAUCUCUGCGCCUGUCCCCAUCGUUUUUCUCUCCAACAGAAAUAGAAAGAGGAGAGCAAUUCGCAGCGGCCCCUGAGCAUCGUCGUCGCGCCUCCUCUUCUCGGCGUCGCAGACUCAUCUGCUCCGCCUUAGCAAUCGUCAUCCUCUACUCGACGUCGCAGAGUCCUCUGCUCCACCUGAGGAACCGUCGCCGCGGCUCCUCUGCUCCACCUGAGGAACUGUCGCCGCGCCUCCUCUGCUCCACCUGAGGAACCGUCGCCGCGCAUCCUCUGCUCCGCCUGAGGAAUCGGCACAGAUUGGCCAGAGGCGGAGGUUGGAGAAUGCACAUCCAGAUUGUGAAGGGUGGCAAUUCAUUUCGGAGGUGUGCAUUUCCUCUGUCUCUGGGUCUAAGGUGAGUCGAAGAGAAGAAUAUUGCAUUCUGGUCACGUGGUGAUGGCGACGGCGUUGUUUGUGUUCUUGACUCCGAGCUUGCUGUUUCAGUUGCCCAACCAGAACAGAGUGGUGGAGUUUGCAAACCUGCACACCAGUGGGAUCUCCAUUUUGAUUCACUCCAUCAUCUCUUUGAACUGGUUACCAUAUUCCUCAUAGCCAUCAAGUUUCCUAUUUACACAGGAUAGAAGCACUAGGAAGCAUGAGGCAGAGUCUCUCUCCUGUUGUCUCGACUACACAAUUCAUUAGGAUGACAUAAAAUCAUAAUAACCCUUGUUCUCCUGAAUUAAGGAGGUCUUGUGCACAACAAAACAUUUUACUCAUACUUACUAGAAAAGAGAACUUUUGCCUACCUAUAGAACCCAGCCAUACCGAACCCACACCAGCCUUAGUUAGGUCUAGGCUUGGCCGGCUACGCCCGGCCCGGCGCGGCCCUCUUCCUCGGCCACCUUCUCUUCCGUCGGCAUCGUCCGGCGCGCGUGGCCGACCUCCCGACAGCCACCUCCCGACAGCCACCUCCCGACAAAGGCAGGUAGGCGCUGUCGCUUCCCGGUUUCCUGCAUAUGCUACAGUGACGCUCCCCUUUCAGCCCUAGAGACGGAAAUCGUGGAACUCCAUCUUUAGAAAUGGCCAACCAGUCUGAUCUGUGGCAGAAGGAUGAAAAUUAAUGCAUUAUGCCACAGAGUUGCGUGCAAAACUUUCACAAUUUUGGGACUCUCUUUGUCUGUCUGUUUCUCUCUCUCUCACGUUAUUGGUGGGUACCUGAAUUGCAUUGUUUUUCCUUUGGUUUAAAUUUGUGUGAUAAAGAGUCAGUAGGGAUAGAAUGUGGAAGCUCUGGUCGAAUGAAUGCACUUCAUUGAUUCAUUCUUUGUUUGUAAGCAGCAGUCUUAAUGUAUACUCAGGAUAAAGGUAGUGAUAGGAAAAAGAGAGAGCUUCCAAUUGGUUUUCUUAACUGUGCCUCUGCACUUUUUGUACUACGUAGAGGCUUCAGAAGAUUCUGCCAUUAGAUUCUGUUGUCGUUGUCUUCAAAAUGGAUUCAGGUGUGCUUCUGCUUUGGCUCAUGUUAUGAUUCGAUGCAUCAAUAUGAACAUGUAUAAUGUGCUUCAGAAUGUUCAAUUCUAUCAAUUGCCUUCUUUAGGAUUCUUCUAUUUUUUAAUGGUUGAAGUAUCAACUGCAACUUAAUUGUUUUCUUUUCUUGCUUUUUGAAAUAGCAAUGAAGUGAGCAUUCUUUGUCAUGUCUUGCUUCAACCUCUUUUCCUUGUCCACACAAUGCAAAAUGAACUCAUUAAGAGUCUAUUUCUGCUUUUAAAGUUAUAUUUUAUUUUAAACUGUUUGUACUGUGGUGGAAGGGAAAGAAGAAUCAUAUACACUAUAAAGUCUUCUGGCAAAUUUAGACUCAGUGGCUUGUAACUUUAAAGCUAGAUAAGACAUAUCCAUGAUUGCUCCCUUUUGUUUCCCUUGCCCUUAUAUUUUAAUGAAACAAGUUGACUCAAAUGAGUACUUGUUUCAGCCUUCUCGUUUUUUACAAAACGUUUUUCAACUUCAUUAAGGAACACCUUAACACUAACCUCUUCAGAAAUAGCGCUCCUAAAGUUUUCUAUGAUAGACUUCUUCAUGAUUGUUGGACUUAGGCGAUUGGAACACUCUCAUCGUUCAAAGUCCUGCUUGUCUUCACAAGAACUUUUAUUUAUCAGAGCAGGUGGGUGCUUCUUCUGAAACACAAAGUUCAGAUCUAUGCAAUCCAGAACAAUCAUAACAUUUUCUUUCUAAAUCUUGAAAUUGGAAUAAUUUAGCUCAGAAAUAGAACUUAAAUUUGUAGAUAUCAUUGAAACAAAAGAACUCAUUGUUUUAUUUCUUUCAGCUUUCUUCUUUUGUUUUAUUUCAGUCUUGACAGCCGUCGUCUACUUGCAUUUUGAUGCAUAGUUGAUUAACUACUCUAAGAAUAAAAAAAACCUACACGUUAGUUUUUUGUAUUCUGUAUGCGUGCUUUCAUUAGGGAGAAGCUUUGAUUAAACAGUCUGGAUUUAGCUUUUAGAGUGUGAAUCAGAGACACAGGACAAGGUGGAAUGCUCAUGGAUACCAUGCGACUGACAAGGACCUGAAAGUUUUGUGUGGAGGCAUAAAGCUGAAAGCAAGUGGACAUAUGUCAACCUAAAUUAAGUCGUUACAAUAUUUAAGCAAUUAGGUUGGACUUCACUCUUUGGUUCUUAAUCUUGGAAGAGUGACUGCUGAUAAUAGAAGAGUUGCAGUUAGCCACACUACCUUGCUUCUUUGGAUAUUAAGCACCAGUGACUGUUCAAUUUGCAGCUCUGCACUGAUAAUUUGUAGUUUUGUCUUAAAGGCCUAACUGGUGACAAUAGAUGGAUCUGUUUUAUCCAGUUAGUUUUAUUAUUUCAUGCCUAUACAUGUUGCUGCAAGAUCAAAAUAAAACAUUGCUGCCAAUGGUCAUUGUGGACUACAGCUUGGGCCAUGUAAACUGAUGACGUAGUACAUGAUACACUAUCUCAACUGGAGCAAGCACCACAUUUGUAAAGAAGGCUUCCUUAGCAAGCUUACACGUUGAAGUCCCUAUGGCUGAUGAAGAUGCAGCCCACCAUCAAACAGAAGUGAAGACUGAGGACAUUCAAAAUUUUGAUGAUAGCGAUGUUUCAGCUCGCAUGGAGAAGUACAGUAAGUAUAAAGCAGAGUAUGCCCGAAGGAUAAAGGCCAAGUACUUCUCCAAGAAAUCUCCAAAUGGAGUAAAUGUAUUUGAGAAGGAAACAUCGAUAGAUGAUGAACUUAUAAAAUCAAGCCGGUGGCCAUGCACAAAAUAUUUUAUUGAAUGUAUUAACAAUGUGGAGGAUAUCAGUAAGCUGUCUGGAGUUGUUGCUGAUGCUGCUGCAAGUACGCCACCAAGGAAAGCAUCGUCCAAAAAGUAGCCGAUCAGUAGGAGUGCAGAAGCCUUACUUUCUUUAAAGACGUUUCAGCGUUUGGUUACAACAUUAACUAAUUUGUCAUCCUAUGUAUAUACAUUUUGUAACAUGAACCCUUGAUCCUAUUCUUUGAUCUUGACACGGGCUUCCAGCCUAAAUGUAGUAAACAGUAGAGCCAAUUCCCAUGGUGCUACAUCAGUAUCCUCUUAUGAGAUGAUAGCUCGAUGAGUUUUCCGGCAACUCGUUUGCCAUCUUUUUUAUAAAUUUGUCUAUUUUAGUUGGUGUUAGCA
Molecule: RNA transcript, 3745 nt
Organism: Nymphaea colorata (pocket water lily)
Lineage: Eukaryota; Viridiplantae; Streptophyta; Magnoliopsida; Nymphaeales; Nymphaeaceae
Exons: 7
Source: RefSeq, a predicted model, not a curated record